This 253-nucleotide ribosomal RNA is filed under the name uncultured bacterium. Its description in RNAcentral is "partial 16S ribosomal RNA". It matches the Rfam family "Bacterial small subunit ribosomal RNA", at positions 524 to 776 of the family's 1533-position model. The record is from RNAcentral.
UACGAAGGGGGCUAGCGUUGCUCGGAUUGACUGGGCGUAAAGGGCGCGUAGGCGGUUCGUACAGUCAGACGUGAAAUUCCUGGGCUCAACCUGGGGGCUGCGUUUGAUACGUGCGGACUUGAGUGCGGAAGAGGGUCGUGGAAUUCCCAGUGUAGAGGUGAAAUUCGUAGAUAUUCGGAAGAACACCAGUGGCGAAGGCGACUUACUGGACGACUGUUGACACUGAGGUGCGAAAGCGUGGGGAGCAAACAGG